This 1017-nucleotide ribosomal RNA is filed under the name uncultured bacterium. Its description in RNAcentral is "bacterial SSU rRNA". It matches the Rfam family "Bacterial small subunit ribosomal RNA", at positions 355 to 1375 of the family's 1533-position model. The record is from RNAcentral.
UGAGGAAUAUUGGUCAAUGGACGAGAGUCUGAACCAGCCAAGUAGCGUGAAGGAUGACUGCCCUAUGGGUUGUAAACUUCUUUUAUACGGGAAUAAAGUGGAGUAUGCAUACUCCUUUGUAUGUACCGUAUGAAUAAGGAUCGGCUAACUCCGUGCCAGCAGCCGCGGUAAUACGGAGGAUCCGAGCGUUAUCCGGAUUUAUUGGGUUUAAAGGGAGCGUAGGCGGGUGCUUAAGUCAGUUGUGAAAGUUUGCGGCUCAACCGUAAAAUUGCAGUUGAUACUGGGCGCCUUGAGUGCAGCAUAGGUAGGCGGAAUUCGUGGUGUAGCGGUGAAAUGCUUAGAUAUCACGAAGAACUCCGAUUGCGAAGGCAGCUUACUGGACUGUAACUGACGCUGAUGCUCGAAAGUGUGGGUAUCAAACAGGAUUAGAUACCCUGGUAGUCCACACGGUAAACGAUGAAUACUCGCUGUUGGCGAUACACAGUCAGCGGCCAAGCGAAAGCAUUAAGUAUUCCACCUGGGGAGUACGCCGGCAACGGUGAAACUCAAAGGAAUUGACGGGGGCCCGCACAAGCGGAGGAACAUGUGGUUUAAUUCGAUGAUACGCGAGGAACCUUACCCGGGCUUAAAUUGCAGAUGAAUUACGGUGAAAGCCGUAAGCCGCAAGGCAUCUGUGAAGGUGCUGCAUGGUUGUCGUCAGCUCGUGCCGUGAGGUGUCGGCUUAAGUGCCAUAACGAGCGCAACCCUUGUUGUCAGUUACUAACAGGUUCCGCUGAGGACUCUGACAAGACUGCCAUCGUAAGAUGUGAGGAAGGUGGGGAUGACGUCAAAUCAGCACGGCCCUUACGUCCGGGGCUACACACGUGUUACAAUGGGGGGUACAGAGGGCCGCUACCACGCGAGUGGAUGCCAAUCCCCAAAACCUCUCUCAGUUCGGACUGGAGUCUGCAACCCGACUCCACGAAGCUGGAUUCGCUAGUAAUCGCGCAUCAGCCUCGGCGCGGUGAAUACGUUCCC